Molecule: ribosomal RNA, 224 nt
Filed under: Secale sylvestre
Lineage: Eukaryota; Viridiplantae; Streptophyta; Magnoliopsida; Poales; Poaceae
Also listed under: 5 other names
Description: partial 18S ribosomal RNA
Source: RNAcentral
AUCAUAGUCAAAAUCUGAGUUUGAUCCUGGCUCAGAAGGAACGCUAGCUAUAUGCUUAACACAUGCAAGUCGAACGUUGUUUUCGGGGAGCUGGGCAGAAGGAAAAGAGGCUCCUAGCUAAAGUUGUCUCGCCCUGCUUCAAAACUACAGGGCGCGCGCUACGGCUUUGACCUAACGGCCUCCGUUUGCUGGAAUCGGAAUAGUUGAGAACAAAGUGGCGAACG